CUCCACGCACGCACCCGACCUCCCACCUCGCAUGAGCGCGAGCGACGGCCUCCAGCCAGCCGCAAUGGCGGAACCGCCGGCGGCGCCACCGCAGCCCCUGCCGCCGCUCCCCCAACCCCCACCAAUGCCACAGAUUCCCGUCGCCGCUGCGCCUCAAAGCUUCUCGCCCACCUCAUCUUCGGCGUUCUCCAGGAGACGCCUCAUGGCGGAACCGCCGCCGGCGCUUCCCCUGCCCCUGUCGCACGGUCCUGUCUCCGCCGCGCUUCUAGCCCUCUCGUCCACCGCAUCUUCGACGCCCCCCACACAUGGGCUAGCAACGCCAACCACUCGCAGCGCCCAAGUCGCCCAGAACCCUAGGAUUGGGGAUUCCGGCGAGGUGGAGAGCAGGGUUGUGGCGCCGACGGCCGAAGCCCUCCCCAAAAUCAACUCUACUGUGGGCGCACUUGUUGGAGCCCCUCUGCCCCAGAUUUCCAUGGCCUGUGAGGUGCUAUUUGUGCUAGGAUGAUCCAGUCUUGUACUUACACAGUAGAGGUGAAGGUUUGUUGCAGUGGAACCAAAAUCAAUGGGGAUUCUACAUUCAUUUGACAGAUUAUUGAAGGUACCAGGACAAGUAUGAAGGAUUUGCUGGCUUCUAUUGCUGGAACCUUUUCUUUUGCUUUAUGCUCAGA
Molecule: ribosomal RNA, 668 nt
Filed under: Triticum aestivum (bread wheat)
Lineage: Eukaryota; Viridiplantae; Streptophyta; Magnoliopsida; Poales; Poaceae
Description: partial small subunit ribosomal RNA
Source: RNAcentral